RNAcentral lists this ribosomal RNA (1359 nucleotides) under metagenome. Its description in RNAcentral is "bacterial LSU rRNA". It matches the Rfam family "Bacterial large subunit ribosomal RNA", at positions 1575 to 2925 of the family's 2925-position model. The record is from RNAcentral.
UCUUUUAAAUCCGAAGCUGCUGAUACCAAGCUCCCAGGAAAAGCCUCUAAGCUUCAGUUGCAUGGGACCGUACCGUAAUCGGACACACGUGGGCAGGAUGAAAAUUCUAAGGCGCUUGAGAGAACUCAGGAGAAGGAACUCGGCAAAUUGACACCGUAACUUCGGAAGAAGGUGUGCCCUGGUAGGUUGUAGCCGUACAGGCGAAGGCCGAAGGGGUUGCAAAAAAUCGGUGGCUGCGACUGUUUAAUAAAAACACAGCACUCUGCAAACACGAUGAGUGGACGUAUAGGGUGUGACGCCUGCCCGGUGCCGGAAGGUUAAAUGAUGGGGUGCAAGCUCUUGAUUGAAGCCCCGGUAAACGGCGGCCGUAACAAUAACGGUCCUAAGGUAGCGAAAUUCCUUGUCGGGUAAGUUCCGACCUGCACGAAUGGCGUAACGAUGGCCACACUGUCUCCUCCUGAGACUCAGCGAAGUUGAAAUGUUUGUGAUGAUGCAAUCUACCCGCGGCUAGACGGAAAGACCCCGUGCACCUUUACUGUAGCUUUGCAUUGGACUGUGAUGGGAUCUGUGUAGGAUAGGUGGGAGGCUUUGAAGUGGGGGCGCUAGCCCUCAUGGAGCCGACGUUGAAAUACCACCCUGAUGUCAUUGCGUUCUAACCUUGGCCCCUUAGCGGGGUUGGGGACAGUGCAUGGUAGGCAGUUUGACUGGGGCGGUCUCCUCCCAAAGAGUAACGGAGGAGCUCGAAGGUACGCUAGGUACGGUCGGACAUCGUGCUGAUAGUGCAAUGGCACAAGCGUGCUUGACUGCGAGACUGACAAGUCGAGCAGGUGCGAAAGCAGGACAUAGUGAUCCGGUGGUUCUGAAUGGAAGGGCCAUCGCUCAACGGAUAAAAGGUACGCCGGGGAUAACAGGCUGAUUCCUCCCAAGAGUUCAUAUCGACGGGGGAGUUUGGCACCUCGAUGUCGGCUCAUCACAUCCUGGGGCUGUAGCCGGUCCCAAGGGUAUGGCUGUUCGCCAUUUAAAGUGGUACGUGAGCUGGGUUUAAAACGUCGUGAGACAGUUUUGUCCCUAUCUGCCGUGGGCGUUGGACGUUUGAGGGGGGCUGCUCCUAGUACGAGAGGACCGGAGUGGACGCACCUCUGGUGUACCGGUUAUCACGCCAGUGGUAUUGCCGGGUAGCUAAGUGCGGAAGAGAUAAGCGCUGAAAGCAUCUAAGCGCGAAACUUGCCUCGAGAUGAGACGUCCCGUGAUGUAAGUCACCUAAAGGGUCGCGGUAGACCACCGCGUUGAUAGGUCGGGUGUGGAAGCGCAGUAAUGCGUUAAGCUAACCGAUACUAAUUGCCCGUGCGGCUUGAUCCU